RNAcentral lists this ribosomal RNA (465 nucleotides) under Vreelandella stevensii. RNAcentral describes it as "partial 16S ribosomal RNA". It matches the Rfam family "Bacterial small subunit ribosomal RNA", at positions 338 to 795 of the family's 1533-position model. Lineage: Bacteria; Pseudomonadati; Pseudomonadota; Gammaproteobacteria; Oceanospirillales; Halomonadaceae. The record is from RNAcentral.
CCUACGGGCGGCAGCAGUGGGGAAUAUUGGACAAUGGGGGGAACCCUGAUCCAGCCAUGCCGCGUGUGUGAAGAAGGCCCUCGGGUUGUAAAGCACUUUCAGUGAGGAAGAACGCCUGGUGGUUAAUACCCAUCAGGAAAGACAUCACUCACAGAAGAAGCACCGGCUAACUCCGUGCCAGCAGCCGCGGUAAUACGGAGGGUGCGAGCGUUAAUCGGAAUUACUGGGCGUAAAGCGCGCGUAGGUGGCUUGAUAAGCCGGUUGUGAAAGCCCCGGGCUGAACCUGGGAACGGCAUCCGGAACUGUCAAGCUAGAGUGCAGGAGAGGAAGGUAGAAUUCCCGGUGUAGCGGUGAAAUGCGUAGAGAUCGGGAGGAAUACCAGUGGCGAAGGCGGCCUUCUGGACUGACACUGACACUGAGGUGCGAAAGCGUGGGUAGCAAACAGGAUUAGAUACCCCUGUAGUC